This 490-nucleotide ribosomal RNA is filed under the name uncultured bacterium. RNAcentral's name for it is "partial 16S ribosomal RNA". It matches the Rfam family "Bacterial small subunit ribosomal RNA", at positions 29 to 507 of the family's 1533-position model. The record is from RNAcentral.
AGUGAACGCUGGCGGUAGGCCUAACACAUGCAAGUCGAACGGCAGCACAGGAGAGCUUGCUCUCUAGGUGGCGAGUGGCGGACGGGUGAGGAAUACAUCGGAAUCUGCCCAGUCGUGGGGGAUAACGUAGGGAAACUUACGCUAAUACCGCAUACGACCUUCGGGUGAAAGAGGGGGAUCGCAAGACCUCUCGCGAUUGGAUGAGCCGAUGUCGGAUUAGCUAGUUAGCGGGGUAAUGGCCCACCAAGGCGACGAUCCGUAGCUGGUCUGAGAGGAUGAUCAGCCACACUGGAACUGAGCCACGGUCCGGACUCCGACGGGAGGCAGCGGGGGGGAAUGUUGGACAAGGGCCGCAAGCUUGAUCCAGCCAUCCCGGGUGGGUGAAGAAGGCCUCCGGGUUGUAAGGCCCUUUUGUGGGGAAAGAAUUUUUUCAGCCUAAUCCCCUGGGGGAAUGACGGUACCAAAAAAAAAAGCCCCGCCUAACUUCGUG